Molecule: ribosomal RNA, 489 nt
Filed under: uncultured bacterium
Lineage: Bacteria
Description: bacterial SSU rRNA
Rfam family: Bacterial small subunit ribosomal RNA
Source: RNAcentral
GAUGAACGCUAGCGGGAGGCCUAAUACAUGCAAGUCGAGCGGUAGAGUGACUUCGGUUGCUUGAGAGCGGCGAACGGGUGAGUAACGCGUACACAAUCUACCUUUAAGAGGGGAAUAGCCCUGGGAAACUGGGAUUAAUGCCCCAUGGCAUCACGAGACGGCAUCGUUUUGUGAUUAAAGCUGAGGUGCUUAGAGAUGAGUGUGCGUCUGAUUAGCUAGUUGGUGCGGUAACGGCGCACCAAGGCGACGAUCAGUAGGGGGCGUGAGAGCGUGGACCCCCACACGGGUACUGAGACACGGACCCGACUCCUACGGGAGGCAGCAGUAAGGAAUAUUGGUCAAUGGAGGAAACUCUGAACCAGCCAUCCCGCGUGCAGGAAGAAUGCCCUAUGGGUUGUAAACUGCUUUCAUCUGGGAAGAAAAGUCGGGAUUUAUCCUGAUCUGACGGUACCAGAGGAAUAAGCACCGGCUAACUCCGUGCCAGCAGCC